AUGAGCUUCGCUCAACAGCAUAGCUCAUACCAAAACAAUUACUCAUAUAGGUGGCCUGAAAACCCGAAUAUGUCAUAUAGGAGCAACAACCCUGAGAUCUCACCAUUUGCUUCUAGUAAUCAUAUGCAGGGAUUUAGGUACAAUGAGGAGAGCUACAACUAUGCUCCACAACAGAUUUAUUCAGCUCCUACUCAUAUACCUCAACACCAGGAGAUGUUGCCAAUGGAGUUAAAUGGUCCUCCAUUUGGUCAACCAACAACUCCAGCAACUGCUGAGCAAUCUCAUGUGCAAGUGCCCACACAAGAUGAAUUUGAUGAUAUAGACAAGCUCACAUUGCUUAGUCUCGAGUUCACUUGGAGUGCUGAGGAUGAUCCAAUUAGGCCGAUGAUACUAGAUGAAAUGAAGAAUAUCAAGAGUGGAAAAGAGCUAGUGAAUGAAGUAAGGAAGAUUGAGAAGAACAUCAACGCUGGUAGUACUAUCUCAUCUCUCCUUGAGCUGAGUGCUGCUAAGAUUUCUAGUCAUACAUGUGAGGUUCCAACACCGUCACAUUUAGCUGAGCAAGAUAGCGAGAGCCCAGAUGAAGAGAUACCUCGGAUUGAAGAUGUACUCGAAGCCAAGGCACAAGAUGAUCCAGAGCUCAAAUGCCCAAGUGAUCAAGUCGAAGACUCAUCAUCUACAACUCCUGAAGAAGUAGAAGAAGCUGUUGUAGUUGAAGAUGAAGAACCAGAAAUUCAAUUGCCUAUCAUCAUACAAGAGUGUGACAUUGCAGGUUUAUCUAAUCCUGUCAAUGGCAUGUCCCCAUAUGAAUUGUUUGCUACUACCUUGCAUUGCAUGAUGCCAUCUGUUAAAGUAGAUUUGAAAAAGUAUUUGCUUGGAUAUGAUCAUAUAUACCCUGUUAGUGGCAUUACUCACAUUAGUGAUGAUCACAGUUACUUUCCUCGUGCUAGACCUAUGCUUUAUGAAACAUAUCAUUCCCAUGCUAGUCUUGAGCUUAAUGGUAAAUAUCAUCCUCAUGUUAGUGUUGACCUUGCUGAUUUCUACCAUCCUAAACAUGUGCUUUAUAGCUAUGCUUAUGUAAUUGGAUAUUCGAUUGAUGACUUGGAGGGUAUUAUCCCUACCACUUGCAUUGUCUCUUUUGUUGUGAGUGCUUUUAGGUUUUUGCUUGUGCACGAUCCACUACAUGCUGACCAGGUUCGAGGUGACAUUCCUUGGGACCCUGGUGGACUUAGAGAAUGGGGAUGA
RNAcentral lists this ribosomal RNA (1242 nucleotides) under Triticum aestivum (bread wheat). RNAcentral's name for it is "partial small subunit ribosomal RNA". Lineage: Eukaryota; Viridiplantae; Streptophyta; Magnoliopsida; Poales; Poaceae. The record is from RNAcentral.